Molecule: long non-coding RNA, 2481 nt
Organism: Manis pentadactyla (Chinese pangolin)
Lineage: Eukaryota; Metazoa; Chordata; Mammalia; Pholidota; Manidae
Exons: 4
Source: RefSeq, a predicted model, not a curated record
GGCGAGUGCCGCCGUUCCUUGGUAGCCGCUUUUCUGUGCGCGGCUCGGCCCCGGGUGGAGGCUGCCGGGCUCCUGGACGAGUCCGCGCGCGAUGUGGGCCCGGCGCUGUGCGCCUGCGGCCAGGGGUUGGCGGCUCCGCGGGGGAGCUACAGCCCUGAGGUGAAGACCGCAGACGAGCUGCGGGUGCAGCACCUGGAGGAGACCCGAAGUGAGGGACACGGCGCUGGCGGCCGCCAGUCCUAGGAAGGGGUCGCGAGGUCGAGUGUCGGGCUGCCGUCAGUGUCCGCCCGGCUGCCAGGUGGAGGCUGCUCCCCUCCCCUAGUCGCGUCGCGCCCGUGUAGCGCUUUCUGUGCCUAAAGGGGUGCUACUGGGCAGCCCGCCUGCCUGCCGGUGCGGCCUCACUCCGCGCCGUGGACAGAAAUGCGCUUUACGCCCUCACCUCUAGACGGCCAAGGCGAGUCCAAACUUCAGUGCUCUCAGCAGCCUGCUGAGAAGAUGAGAACUCUCCCGGGUCAGAGGAGCCCCAAACUGCCCUCUGCUCCCUAGGCCUCUUUAGGCUGGUGGAUGUAGAGGAAGAUGACCUUUCCCAGGUUCCAUCAGUGUAAAGUGGGACUAUGAGUCUGGCUUCUGGUCAGCAGAAAGUGGAUCCAAGUAAAAUAUAAUCUCCAGUUCUCCUGUUGUCUCUGAAUGGAUGCAGAAGACCCCAUGGAAGACUAAGGCCAAAACGAUGGCAAAGCUACCGGAGGGAGGGAAUUUUGGUCACCAUAUACUGUUACGAGGAAAACUGCCUGUUAAAAGUCAUUUGUAUUGUGAUGUGAGAGAGAAAACUUUCUGUCUUCAACAACUGAGAAACUCUGCAAUAAUUAUAAGAAAAUGGAGAUGAAGACCAUCUCUGACCUGAUCCUGACUUUAUUGAAAAAGACAUAGUGUUUUCUACUAUUCAGUGUUCUAAUAUAAAGAUCUAUAUUAUUUGUCAUGAUAAUUUUAUACUUUUUUUUUCAAGAAUGGGUAUUGAAUAUGAGAAUAUGAUAUACAUUGUUUUUCUCUGACCUAUUCAAUAAACUGUAUACAUUGAUUUUCUAACAUUAAACUAUUCUCCUAUUCCCUAGUUGGUUUUACUAAUUCAAUUCUUGGAAAAUAAUGUCUUCCAUUUACUGACUGAGGAACUUAUGUAUCUACUUUUAUGGAAUUUAUACAUCUGUAAUUUAGUUAAAAUUUGAGCUUCAGGUUGGGUUGUAUAUAUUAAAUUUUGCUGUCCAUAUUGUUUUGAGUUUCACUGAAUUCCAGAGUUUUUCACUGAUUAUCUAGUUUGGAGUUAAAGUUGUUCCCUUGUUGUGGCCCAGUGAUAGUGAAUAGUUGAAUAUUAUGAAGUAACAUAAAUAAGCGUUAACAGAUUUGUCUCCAUUCUGCAUAAGAAUUUGACCUCCAGUAAAGCUUCUAGAUCUGAGUCCCUGAGACAUGAUAGAAGAAUGUCAUCAAGCCCCAGCUGCACUGCUCAUUGUGACACUCAGCUGUAAACGUGCAUCUGAGCUAGGAGAAUUAUAAAUGCUGAGUCACACACUUGGCCUUCCCUGAGUGCGCUGACUCCUAUCAUUGCAAUCUCCCUUGCAGACACCCUAGAGAUAUGCCUAGCAGAUAUUACGAGAGAUUUUGGCUCCUGUGCAUCCUGAGGCUUUCAAGUCAAGGGUUCACCCAAAUCAACCAAUGAGUUUCUCAUCUCUUUGCUCCUGGGGACAAAAAUCUAUUUGUGGACUACUGCAGGGAUUACCACAGAAGGGAAUGGACGGCAUGUUGUGCUUCUCAUCCUGUAUCUUCCUGAGGGAUUGUGUGCCAAGAUGGGCCAAUGGUAAUCUGAUGUUGAACUGAGCUUCAGAAGAAGACCCUUUGAUGGAUGUUGGACACUGUCCUGAAGCACAGUGUCCUUCCUCCCCAGGGCCCUAAUGUAGCUCAUGGAUGGAAUCACUAGAGACCACACUGAUGAUUCUGUGACGCAGCACUUCCGUGCCUUGCUGCCUCGGUCCACAGUCAGUAUGCGACGGAGGCUGAUCACUGUGUUGGGGGAUGGUCACUCCACCUCCCAUUUCCGCUUCUUGUGGUACAGCUUUCACUUCCUCCUGUCUGGAGUACUUGUAGCUGCCUUGAGGAAUGCCCCUCACUCCACACUGACAAGAAAUUAGCCGUGGUUACUGUAAAGCCUUUAUUUGAUAAGUUCAAUGUCUAAAUUACUUGUGGCUUUAUUUUCAUUAUCUGAUAUUAUUUUGGUUAUCAGUUAUUUGAUCUUGUUUUCAGACAUGCCUGGUGAUUUUGUUGGAGUGUCUGAAUUUUCAAUUUAAAUGACUAUUUUACAUUUCUUGAAGUUCUAUUGGCUAUUUUGCAAAUCUGUCUUUUUCUUUGAUUAUAAUGUCUAUUUCUUCUUUUACAUUUAUGGUUAAUUAAAAAUAAUUCAUAUUUUAAAAUAAUAUACUUAGUUGGCUUCUUUGA